Carassius gibelio (silver crucian carp) is the source of this 816-nucleotide long non-coding RNA. RefSeq lists it as uncharacterized. The record is from RefSeq and is a predicted model, not a curated record. The transcript has 3 exons. Lineage: Eukaryota; Metazoa; Chordata; Actinopteri; Cypriniformes; Cyprinidae.
UAUAGCAUUCAUUCAUGUCAGUUAAUAUUCCAAACUUAAACAUUAAAACAUUGUUUUAUUGUGAUUUUUUUCCAAGCACAUUUUACCAAUUCCAAACCAUAUCAAUCUUAAUAACUACCAUUAUUUUUUAUUUAAUCAUUUAUGAGUGCUAUACAAUAGUCCAGGAAAGCUGGAAGAGAAAAACUCCUUAUAUUCAUGUGCAGAAUUAUUAGGCAUGUUUUCUUUUACAGAUGAAAUGCGCUAAAAAAGAGUUUUAACUCAAACUGUUUUAACUCAAAGUCGAAAAUUAUGAAAUACCCAUGAGAAAUAUCAAACACAAAUGCAAUACAGAAAUGGAUAAGUUAAGACUUGACCAUUGUACAAAAAUGCUGACUGGGUCAUGAGGUCAGAAAAGAAGAAGAAAAAAAAACAGGUCAAGAAGAACUGACAAAAAUAAUUGCAAAAUAAUUAGGAAUUAAUGUGAAGAUUAAUUUUUAGUCAAUUCUGCAAGACAGACUUUCAGGAAAGGAGGUGGAAUAAAAAUGAGCUCCUAAAUCUUAAUCCCGGAUUCUGGAAGAUAUAUUCCUCAAACCAUCGGACAAGAGGAGGUGGUGCUGGUCCUUCACGAGUCACUCUAAUCUGUUCAUGAAGCCUAUAUAUAAAGUCUUAAUAUAUAGUAUUUCACAAUACUUCAUGGUAUUCUAAUUAAAUCAUUUUUUGGAAUCUUAGAUUUCUCAGAACCUGACACAUUGUAAUUCUGAGACUCCAGGAAAGUGGCAGUUCUGUAAAAUGUUGGCACUGGAGACUAAAUGCUCCCUGAUAGUUUCACACCUAAUU